Long non-coding RNA from Coccinella septempunctata (seven-spotted ladybird), 942 nucleotides. RefSeq lists it as uncharacterized. The record is from RefSeq and is a predicted model, not a curated record. NCBI's taxonomy places the organism in Eukaryota, Metazoa, Arthropoda, Insecta, Coleoptera, Coccinellidae. The transcript has 2 exons.
CUAUCACUUAUAUAUUAUCAGCAUAUAUAAAAAUCAUUCAUAGGUUACAAACAGAAUGAAUUAUUGUAGUAUUCUUUACAAUUAUGUACAUGAAAUAGAAAACAAAUAAAUAAAAUCAAAAACCUUUAACAUUGCGUUGAUUUCUACGCUCGUAUUAUAUUUACAACCUUACAACUUCUUCAUUUAUGCUAAAAAUAAUUGAAAAAUUCAAUUUUUACCACAAUUUUGAAAGUAAAAACUCGUGAGUUCCUACAUAUGCCCAAGAAAAUACUUCAUAAGGACAAAUAAAAAUACACUGCUAAAAAACCAAUGGCUAUUCAAACAUUUUUAGUGAACUUCCUAUUAUUUGCCACAUAAUGUACAUUAAUCAUUCAUUGAAUAGGACUCAUCUACAAUUGACAUAAAUGAUUGAUAAAUGAUUAUAAUUUUGAUUCGAAAAUUUGUCGCAGCAAGUUCUCAACAUAUUUCUACUAAUACCUAAUUUUCAAAACUACCUAUCGAGUAUUGAACACAGUUUUUCAGUCAAUGUUAUCAGUAAAAGGACUGCUUGAAAAUAAAGUUCCAAAUAUAUUUCUUCGUGAUGAUCCUUAAAAUCUACGACUAGGUAUUCCGGAUUCAAAUGCAUAAUUUCACAAGGUCCAACCAUUUUCCAUGUUACCCUAUAUAUAUACACAUUCAUGAAAUUGAUUGGGCCAGCAGUGCAUCUGUACAUACAUUUAUGGGUACAAAGAAAUAUUUAAUAAAACAAAUAAAAAGCCAACUCAUUGGUAGUGGAAGUUUACUGAUAUUAAAUUAAAAUUAUGAUACAUGGAUACCAUGGGGGAAAAAUUCCAAUGCCAAGUUUGUCAGUGAUAUCAGAAUUUCGAUUAAUUAGAAUAUAUACAUAAUUAAAGAAAUCCUUUGUCAUUUCAAAUCGACUUUAUCGCACUUGUUGAUUUCGAA